This 362-nucleotide non-coding RNA is filed under the name Glycine max (soybean). RNAcentral's name for it is "rRNA SSU_rRNA_eukarya". It matches the Rfam family "Eukaryotic small subunit ribosomal RNA", at positions 122 to 430 of the family's 1831-position model. The record is from Rfam by way of RNAcentral. Lineage: Eukaryota; Viridiplantae; Streptophyta; Magnoliopsida; Fabales; Fabaceae.
UGCAUCCAAUAUUUACAUUGAAAUAGGGCAAUUGCUUAGUGCACUUCCCGAAUUGCUUCCCAUAAUUCCUGCGCCUCCCACCGGAAGCAAUAAGGAAAGUGCAUGAAGCAAUUCCAGAAAUGAAAAACACCCUUGAAUUAGAUAAAAGGUCAACACAGGCUCUGCCUGUUGCUUUGAUGAUUCAUGAUAACUCGUCGGAUCGCACGGCCUUUGUGCCGGCGACGCAUCAUUCAAAUUUUUCCCCUAUCAACUUUCGAUGGUAAGAUAGUGGCCUAUCAUGGUGGUGACGGGUGACGGAGAAUUAGGGUUCGAUUUCGGAGAGGGAGCUUGAGAAACGGCUACCACAUCCAAGGAAGGCAGCA